RNAcentral lists this ribosomal RNA (253 nucleotides) under uncultured bacterium. RNAcentral describes it as "partial 16S ribosomal RNA". It matches the Rfam family "Bacterial small subunit ribosomal RNA", at positions 524 to 776 of the family's 1533-position model. The record is from RNAcentral.
UACGUAGGGUGCGAGCGUUGUCCGGAAUCAUUGGGCGUAAAGCGCACGUAGGCGGUCUGUUAUGUCGGAUGUGAAAGCCCUUGGCUUAACUGAGGAAGUGCAUCCGAAACUGGCAGGCUAGAGUACUAAAGAGGGUCGCGGAAUUCCAGGUGUAGCGGUGAAAUGCGUAGAUAUCUGGAGGAAUACCGGUGGCGAAGGCGGCAUCCUGGACCGACAUUGACGCUGAACGGCGAAAGCUAGGGGAGCAAACGGG